CCCCUUUUUACGCCCCGGUAUGCCUUNCAUGCAAGNCGUACGGGAGUUUUUAACUCAAGUGGCGGACGGGUGAGUAACACGUGAGAAUCUGCCUUUAGGAGGGGGAUAACAACUGGAAACGGUUGCUAAUACCCCAUAUGCUUUCGAGUAAAAUGGAUUUAUCCGCCUAGAGAGGAGCUCGCGGCUGAUUAGCUUGUUGGUAGGGUAAAGGCCUAGGAAGGCUNACUUUCNUUAUCUGGUUUGAGAGGACGACCAGACACACUGGAACUGAGACACGGUCCAGACUCCUACGGGAGGCAGCAGCUGGGGAAUUUUCCGCAAUGGGCGAAAGCCUGACGGAGCAAUACCGCGUGAGGGAAGACGGCCUAUGGGUUGUAAACCUCUUUUCUCAGGGAGGAACUCAAUGACGUGUCCUGAGGAAUAAGCAUCGGCUAACUCCGUGCCAGCAGCCGNGGUAAGACGGAGGAUGCAAGUGUAUCCGGAAUGCUGGGCGUAAGCGUCUGUAGGUUGUUAAUAGUAACUGUUAAUCUUGAGGCUACUUAAAAUCCAAUCCAACUUUA
This 560-nucleotide ribosomal RNA is filed under the name Nonionella stella. RNAcentral describes it as "bacterial SSU rRNA". The stretch from base 9 to 477 matches the Rfam family "Bacterial small subunit ribosomal RNA", at positions 32 to 542 of the family's 1533-position model. The record is from RNAcentral. Lineage: Eukaryota; Foraminifera; Rotaliida; Nonionidae.